Non-coding RNA from Biomphalaria pfeifferi, 448 nucleotides. The record is from the annotation of a GenBank genome assembly. Lineage: Eukaryota; Metazoa; Mollusca; Gastropoda; Planorbidae.
AUUCCUAAGUUCUCACGUGGGCCCCAACUGGUCAAGAGUUAUGGGCCCAAAAGCAAGCAAUCCCUUAGCGCCAUUGUUGGAACGCCACAGACUGUGGGCCCCUAAUGGUCGUGGGCCCGGGUUCAUUGAACCCCUUCGCGUCAUGGAUGCUACGCCACUGAACCUGUGGGCAUUUUAGACCGAUAACUCGUUGCCACUCGUCACAGGUCUGUACGACGUCUCUAACGAAUGGUCUCGAUUACAUUCUGUCAGUUGUUUAAAGUUUCCUUUUGUCUUUCUUUUUGGUCCUCCUCCGAAAUUCUUUUUUCUCCUUUUUGGUUUGUAGUUGUCUGGUAACCCUACAGAGGACUAUUGACAUGAACUUCUCUCUGAUUGUCCGUGAACCAAGCAAUACAUCAACAGAUACAAAAUACAGUAUCAGAUAGCACCGGUUAUUAAAUAAAAAUAC